This 253-nucleotide ribosomal RNA is filed under the name uncultured bacterium. RNAcentral's name for it is "partial 16S ribosomal RNA". It matches the Rfam family "Bacterial small subunit ribosomal RNA", at positions 524 to 776 of the family's 1533-position model. The record is from RNAcentral.
UACGUAGGGGGCAAGCGUUGUCCGGAAUCAUUGGGCGUAAAGCGCGUGUAGGCGGCUUGAUAAGUCCGUUCUGAAAGCCCGGGGCUCAACCCCGGGAGGCGGAUGGAUACUGUCAAGCUUGAGUCCGGAAGAGGCGAGUGGAAUUCCCGGUGUAGCGGUGAAAUGCGCAGAUAUCGGGAGGAAUACCGGUGGCGAAGGCGGCAUCCUGGACCGGCAUUGACGCUGAUGAGCGAAAGCUAGGGGAGCAAACGGG